RNAcentral lists this non-coding RNA (2076 nucleotides) under Coprobacillus sp. CAG:235. Its description in RNAcentral is "LSU rRNA". It matches the Rfam family "Bacterial large subunit ribosomal RNA", at positions 459 to 2555 of the family's 2925-position model. Lineage: Bacteria; Bacillati; Bacillota; Erysipelotrichia; Erysipelotrichales; Coprobacillaceae. The record is from RNAcentral.
GGCAAGGCUAAAUACGAGAGAGUGACCGAUAGUGAACCAGUACCGUGAGGGAAAGGUGAAAAGAACCCCGGGAGGGGAGUGAAAGAGAACCUGAAACCAUAUGCCUACAAGAAGUCAGAGCCCGUUAAAGGGUGAUGGCGUGCCUUUUGUAGAAUGAACCGGCGAGUUACUGUAUGGAGCGAGGUUAAGCAGGAUAUGCGGAGCCGAAGCGAAAGCGAGUCUUAAGAGGGCGCGAGUUGCAUGCAGUAGACCCGAAACCGGGUGAUCUAGCCAUGACCAGGUUGAAGUUGGGGUAAAACCCGAUGGAGGACCGAACCGACCCCCGUUGAAACGUUGGCGGAUGAGUUGUGGCUAGGGGUGAAAUUCCAAUCGAACCCGGAGAUAGCUGGUUCUCCCCGAAAUAGCUUUAGGGCUAGCGUCGAGAGAAGAGUUGCGUGAAGGUAGAGCACUGAAUAUGUGAUGGCCCCAUCUCGGGGUACUGAGCAUAAUCAAACUGCGAAUGUCACGCCAACAUGCUCGGCAGUCAGACAGCGGGUGAUAAGGUCCGUUGUCAAGAGGGAAACAGCCCAGACCAUCAGCUAAGGUCCCAAAAUGUAUGCUAAGUGGAAAAGGAUGUGGAGAUGUACAGACAACUAGGAGGUUGGCUCAGAAGCAGCCAUCCUUUAAAGAGUGCGUAACAGCUCACUAGUCGAAUGACUCUGCGCCGAUAAUUUACCGGGGCUAAGCAUACUACCGAAGCUAUGGAUCCCAAGGGAUGGUAGGGGAGCGUUCCAUGAACGGAGAAGUACGACCGAAAGGACGUGUGGAGAUCAUGGAAGAGAGAAUGCCGGUGUGAGUAGCGGAACGUGGGUGAGAAUCCCACGCACCGAAAACCCAAGGUUUCCAGAGGAAGGUUCGUCCGCUCUGGGUAAGUCGGGACCUAAGGCGAGGCCGAAAGGCGUAGUCGAUGGACAACAGGUAGAGAUUCCUGUACCCGUAUAUAUGUGAAGGAAUGACGGAGAGAGGAAGCUGCAGCCAGCGGCUGGAAGAGCUGGUGCAAGCGAGAUAUCGGGAUGGCAGGCAAAUCCACCAUCCGAAACGAGAAGGCGUGAAGCGUACGGAAAGCUACGGCGAGUACGGAAGGCAGUGGAGGAACUUCCAAGAAAAGUUUCUAACGUUAAGUAUAUAUGGCCCGUACCGAAAAUGGACACACAUGGGUGAGGAGAGAAUCCUAAGGUGAGCGAGAGAACUAUAGCUAAGGAACUCUGCAAAAUGACUCCGUAACUUAGGGAGAAGGAGUGCUCAUAGAGAUAUGAGCCGCAGUGAAACGGCCCAAGCGACUGUUUACCAAAAACACAGCUCUCUGCUAAGCCGCAAGGCGAAGUAUAGGGGGUGACGCCUGCCCGGUGCUGGAAGGUUAAGGGGAGGGGUUAACGCAAGUGAAGCCCUGAACUGAAGCCCCAGUAAACGGCGGCCGUAACUAUAACGGUCCUAAGGUAGCGAAAUUCCUUGUCAGGUAAGUUCUGACCCGCACGAAAGGCGUAACGAUUUGGGCGCUGUCUCAGCUGUAGACUCGGUGAAGUCUUAGUACCUGUGAAGAUGCAGGUUACCCGCGACUAGACGGAAAGACCCCAUGGAGCUUCACUGCAGGUUGAUAUUGGGAUUUGAUGCAGCAUGUACAGGAUAGGUAGGAGGCAAAGAGAUGGAUACGCCAGUAUUCAAGGAGCCGCUGUUGGGAUACUACCCCUGUUGUAUUGGAUUUCUAACCGGACGACGUAGAGCCGUUGACGGGACAGUGUCAGUCGGGCAGUUUGACUGGGGCGGUCGCCUCCCAAAGAGUAACGGAGGCGCCCAAAGAUACCCUCAGCUUGGAUGGAAACCAAGCGCAGAGUGCAAAGGCAAAAGGGUGUUUGACUGCGAGACCCACAAGUCGAGCAGGGACGAAAGUCGGGCUUAGUGAUCCGGCGGUGCUGAAUGGAAAGGCCGUCGCUCAACGGAUAAAAGCUACCCUGGGGAUAACAGGCUGAUCUCCCCCAAGAGUUCACAUCGACGGGGAGGUUUGGCACCUCGAUGUCGGCUCAUCGCAUCCUGGAGCUG